AUGGCAAUGGCUUAUAAAAGAACAAAUCCCCAACUAGAAUCCCACUCCAGUCUCACUGUCUCAUGCCGGCAGCGUGGACCCUGGCACAAUCUUCCCCUGCUCGACAUUCUCGGCCACGACGUCGGCCGCCGUCGCAGAGUGCGCCACGUCGUACGUCGCGUGCACGCCGAAGAGCACGUAGUACACGAGCAUCGCCACCGUGCAGAUGCCGAAGCGCAGGUAGGCCAUGGACCCGAGGGACCCCAUCAGGAACAGGUUGGUGGCCACGGACAUGGCCGGCAGCCACGGCAUGAGCGGCACGCCGUACACCUUGGGCUGCCGCUGCUGCUUCGCCGCCAGCGCCAGCCCCGCCGCGCCGGCCGCCCAGCCCACGCCGAACACCGCGUACCCCGGCCACCGCCUGGCGUAGCGCGAGUUGUAGUACGCCGAGAGCCCGAUGGACGACAGGACCACCAGCGCCAGGAAGGCGAGGAAGGUGCGCAGCUGCCUGGCCGGGGUCUUCCCGGCCACGUAGUAGCGGCGGACGAGCAGCGCGACGGCCACCAGGGCGAAGAUGAAGAGCGUGCUGAUGGAGGAGACGGAGGCGAGCACGUCCAGGCUCGAGAAGAGCGCCACGCAGGCGGCGCCGAGCGUGACGGCCAUGGUGGCGUACACGGGCGUGCCGGUCCUGGGGUGCACGAGCGCGAAGUAGGGCGGGAUCAUGUGCGUGCGCGCGAUCUGCGUGGUGUAGCGCGCCUGCCCCAGCGCGCCCACCAGGAGGCCGCUCGUCAUGCCCUUGAGCGCGCCGAGCGCCACGACGUAGCGCGCCCACUUGAGCCCGGUCGCGGCGAACGCCACCGAGUAGGCGGCGUUGGGGUCGAUCUCGCUGUACCGCUGCAUGCCGACCAGCGCCAGGGACAUGGCGCAGUACACCACGGUGAUGGCCGACAUGGACGACAGGAGGCCCAGCGGCACGUCCCGGCCGGGGUUCUUGGUCUCUUCCGCCAUGGUGGCCACCAUGUCGAAGCCCGUGUAGGACCAGUACACCACCGCCGCCGCGCGGAACACGCCGGCGGCCCCGAAGGGGAAGAAGGUCGGCUCCACGAGGUUGCUGGAGUGGAAGUGCGAGAAGCCCGCGCCGAUGACGAAGGCGAUGAUGACGAUGCCGAUCACGGACGCCAGCGAGUUGAUGGUGGAGGUGAGGCGCGCGCCGGACAUGGCCAGGGCGGAGGUGCAGAUGAGGACGACGACGGCGAUGGGAUCGAGCAGAUUGAAACCUUCAGCGAGCGCCGGGACGUGGAUGCGGAGCGCGUCGGUGUCGAGUCCGAAGAGCGCGGCGAGGUAGGACGUCCAGGAGCGCCCCAGGCCGGCCGCCCCCACGACGGCCUCCAGCAGUAUGUUCCCGGCGGCGAGGAACGCCGCCAUGUCGCCGAGCUCGACCCGCAGGUACGAGAAGGAGCCCCCGGCAGAUGGGAUCUCGGUGGCGAGCUCCGCGUAGCAGAAGGACGAGAGCAGGGCGGAGAAGCCCGCGGCGGCGUAGGCGAGCGGGAUGGCCGGGCCGGCGUCGAAGCGCGCCUCCUGGCCGGUGAGCACGAAGACGCCGGAGCCGACGACGGAGCCGAAGCCGAGGAAGGCGAGGUCGACCCAGGAGAGGCAGCGGCGCAGCGGGUUCUCGCUCUCCGCGAGCAGCGUCCCCGCCUCGACGGCCUCGGACGAUCGGGCGGCCACGCGGUCGCGCAGGCGCGGCACGGUGGCCGCGAGCGCGCCGCCGUACGCGCGCCAGCUCUGGAACGAGGGCUCCGGGAAAAAAUCGGCCUUGCUCCACCGCCAGUACCGCCGGCCCUGCGGCUGCUCCCCAGCCGCCAUCGCCGCGCACGCAAUUGGGAUUGGAACUUGGACGCGAGUGCUGGGAAAGGCUGGGAUUUGACGAGUGAAUAUAGACGAGUUAUGAGAGGAUUGUAA
RNAcentral lists this ribosomal RNA (1941 nucleotides) under Triticum aestivum (bread wheat). Its description in RNAcentral is "partial small subunit ribosomal RNA". The record is from RNAcentral. Lineage: Eukaryota; Viridiplantae; Streptophyta; Magnoliopsida; Poales; Poaceae.